RNAcentral lists this ribosomal RNA (950 nucleotides) under Promicromonospora sp. RNAcentral describes it as "bacterial SSU rRNA". It matches the Rfam family "Bacterial small subunit ribosomal RNA", at positions 66 to 1031 of the family's 1533-position model. Lineage: Bacteria; Bacillati; Actinomycetota; Actinomycetes; Micrococcales; Promicromonosporaceae. The record is from RNAcentral.
ACGGUGAAGCUCAGCUUGCUGGGUGGAUCAGUGGCGAACGGGUGAGUAACACGUGAGCAACCUGCCCCCUACUUCGGGAUAAGCCUUGGAAACGAGGUCUAAUACCGGAUAUGAACACUUGCCGCAUGGUGGGUGUUGGAAAGUUUUUCGGUGGGGGAUGGGCUCGCGGCCUAUCAGCUUGUUGGUGGGGUAAUGGCCUACCAAGGCGUCGACGGGUAGCCGGCCUGAGAGGGCGACCGGCCACACUGGGACUGAGACACGGCCCAGACUCCUACGGGAGGCAGCAGUGGGGAAUAUUGCACAAUGGGCGAAAGCCUGAUGCAGCGACGCCACGUGAGGGAUGACGGCCUUCGGGUUGUAAACCUCUUUCAGCAGGGAAGAAGCGAAAGUGACGGUACCUGCAGAAGAAGCGCCGGCUAACUACGUGCCAGCAGCCGCGGUAAUACGUAGGGCGCAAGCGUUGUCCGGAAUUAUUGGGCGUAAAGAGCUCGUAGGCGGUCUGUCGCGUCUGGUGUGAAAUCCCAUGGCUCAACUGUGGGCUUGCAUCGGGUACGGGCAGACUAGAGUGCUGUAGGGGAGACUGGAAUUCCUGGUGUAGCGGUGGAAUGCGCAGAUAUCAGGAGGAACACCGAUGGCGAAGGCAGGUCUCUGGGCAGUUACUGACGCUGAGGAGCGAAAGCAUGGGGAGCGAACAGGAUUAGAUACCCUGGUAGUCCAUGCCGUAAACGUUGGGCACUAGGUGUGGGGCGGGUUCCACUCGUUCUGUGCCGCAGCUAACGCAUUAAGUGCCCCGCCUGGGGAGUACGGCCGCAAGGCUAAAACUCAAAGGAAUUGACGGGGGCCCGCACAAGCGGCGGAGCAUGCGGAUUAAUUCGAUGCAACGCGAAGAACCUUACAAGGCUUGACAUGUACGAGAAAGCCCCAGAGAUGGGGUUCUCUUUGGACCUCGU